AGCAGCCGCGGUAAUUCCAGCUCCAAUAGCGUAUAUUAAAGUUGUUGCAGUUAAAAAGCUCGUAGUUGAAUUUCGGGGUUAGCAGGUCGGUCGUGCCAUCGGUAUGAACUGGUCUCGCUGAUCCCUCCCUCUUGACGAACUGUGAUGCCAUUAAUUUGGUGUCGCAGGGAAUCAGGACUGUUACUUUGAAAAAUUAGAGUGUUUAAAGCAGGCUCACGCUUGAAUACAUUAGCAUGGAAUAAUGAAAUAGGACGUUUGAUCCUAUUUUGUUGGUUUCUAGGAUUGACGUAAUGAUUAAUAGGGAUAGUUGGGGGCAUUAGUAUUCAAUUGUCAGAGGUGAAAUUCUUGGAUUUAUUGAAGACUAACUACUGCGAAAGCAUUUGCCAAGGAUGUUUUCAUUAAUCAAGAACGAAAGUUAGGGGAUCGAAGACGAUCAGAUACCGUCGUAGUCUUAACCAUAAACUAUGCCGACUAGGGAUCGGAUGAUGUUAAUUUUUAAUGACUCAUU
Molecule: ribosomal RNA, 508 nt
Filed under: uncultured Glomus
Lineage: Eukaryota; Fungi; Glomeromycota; Glomeromycetes; Glomerales; Glomeraceae
Description: SSU rRNA
Rfam family: Eukaryotic small subunit ribosomal RNA
Source: RNAcentral